UACGUAGGGGGCAAGCGUUGUCCGGAUUUAUUGGGCGUAAAGAGCGUGUAGGCGGCCAGACAAGUCUGCUGUGAAAACUCGAGGCUCAACCUCGAGCUGUCGGUGGAAACUGUCUGGCUAGAGUCCGGAAGAGGAGAGUGGAAUUCCUGGUGUAGCGGUGAAAUGCGCAGAUAUCAGGAAGAACACCUGCGGCGAAGGCGGGUAGCUGGGCCAACACUGACGCUGAUGCGCGAAAGCUAGGGGAGCAAACGGG
This 253-nucleotide ribosomal RNA is filed under the name uncultured bacterium. RNAcentral's name for it is "partial 16S ribosomal RNA". It matches the Rfam family "Bacterial small subunit ribosomal RNA", at positions 524 to 776 of the family's 1533-position model. The record is from RNAcentral.